RNAcentral lists this ribosomal RNA (317 nucleotides) under uncultured Chloroflexota bacterium. RNAcentral's name for it is "bacterial SSU rRNA". It matches the Rfam family "Bacterial small subunit ribosomal RNA", at positions 28 to 351 of the family's 1533-position model. Lineage: Bacteria; Bacillati; Chloroflexota. The record is from RNAcentral.
GAUGAACGCUGGCGGCGUGCCUAACACAUGCAAGUCGAACGAAGAGGCCCCUUCGGGGGUACUUCAGUGGCGGACGGGUGAGUAACACGUAGGCGACCUGCCCCGAAGCAGGGAAUAACGGCUCGAAAGGGCCGUUAAUACCCAAAAGGAUCGCGUAUCAAAGCGUGAUCAGAGUUACGGCGUUUCGGGAGGGGCCUGCGGCCCAUCAGCUAGUUGGUAGGGUAACGGCCUACCAAGGCAACGACGGGUAGGGGGCCUGAGAGGGCGACCCCCCACAUUGGGCACUGACACACGGGCCAAACUCCUACGGGUGGCAG